ACCAGUGGACCAGUUUGCCUCCAGAAGUUAUGGCUACUCCAUCACUGGAGGCUUUUAAGAAGAGACUUGGACAGCUCCUUGUCUGAAAUGCUACAGGGUCUCCUGCUUGGGCAGGGGGUUGGAC
Notechis scutatus (mainland tiger snake) is the source of this 124-nucleotide non-coding RNA. The record is from RefSeq and is a predicted model, not a curated record. NCBI's taxonomy places the organism in Eukaryota, Metazoa, Chordata, Lepidosauria, Squamata, Elapidae.